This 504-nucleotide ribosomal RNA is filed under the name uncultured Actinomycetes bacterium. Its description in RNAcentral is "bacterial SSU rRNA". It matches the Rfam family "Bacterial small subunit ribosomal RNA", at positions 8 to 522 of the family's 1533-position model. The record is from RNAcentral. Lineage: Bacteria; Bacillati; Actinomycetota; Actinomycetes.
AGAGUUUGAUCAUGGCUCAGGACGAACGCUGGCGGCGUGCUUAACACAUGCAAGUCGAACGGAAAGUGCCCAGCUUGCUGGGUGACUCGAGUGGCGAACGGGUGAGUAACACGUGGGUGAUCUGCCCUGCACUUUGGGAUAAGCCUGGGAAACUGGGUCUAAUACCGAAUACACCCUGCUGGUCGCAUGGCCUGGUGGGGGAAAGCUUUUGCGGUGUGGGAUGGGCCCGCGGCCUAUCAGCUUGUUGGUGGGGUGAUGGCCUACCAAGGCGACGACGGGUAGCCGGCCUGAGAGGGUGUCCGGCCACACUGGGACUGAGAUACGGCCCAGACUCCUACGGGAGGCAGCAGUGGGGAAUAUUGCACAAUGGGCGCAAGCCUGAUGCAGCGACGCCGCGUGAGGGAUGACGGCCUUCGGGUUGUAAACCUCUUUCAAUAGGGACGAAGCGUAAGUGACGGUACCUAUAGAAGAAGCACCGGCCACUACGUGCCAGCAGCCGCGGUA